RNAcentral lists this long non-coding RNA (210 nucleotides) under Homo sapiens (human). Its description in RNAcentral is "HSALNT0328149". Lineage: Eukaryota; Metazoa; Chordata; Mammalia; Primates; Hominidae. The record is from RNAcentral.
ACUGACCCUGGCUUGCUUCUUGGCAUGUCUGCUGGAAGGCCAUUCUCUGUCUGUCCCAGGCAUGGCCCUAGUUCAGCUGCGGGUGAAAUUAUCCUGUUCUGAAUGUACUGAAUGCUGCUGGCAAUGCUGUAAAUUGUUGUGAGGCUUAAGGAAAAACCCUGUAGAUAUCAACAAGUCAUAAAAACAGGCGUAUUUUCUCUUCGUCUCUUU